Molecule: ribosomal RNA, 443 nt
Filed under: uncultured bacterium
Lineage: Bacteria
Description: partial 16S ribosomal RNA
Rfam family: Bacterial small subunit ribosomal RNA
Source: RNAcentral
CAGAUGGGAGGCAGCAGGGGGGAAGAUUGGGCAAUGGGCGAAAGAAUGACCCAGCAACGCCGCGUGAAGGAAGAAGGCCUUCGGGUUGUAAACUUCUUUUGUCAGGGACGAAGAAAGUGACGGUACCUGACGAAUAAGCCUCGGCUAACUACGUGCCAGCAGCCGCGGUAAUACGUAGGUGGCAAGCGUUAUCCGGAUUUACUGGGUGUAAAGGGCGAGUAGGCGGCAGGGCAAGUCAGACGUGAAAGUCCAGGGCUCAACCCUGGAACUGCAUUUGAAACUGUUCUGCUUGAGUAAAGGAGAGGCAGGCGGAAUUCCGUGUGUAGCGGUGAAAUGCGUAGAUAUAAGGAAGAACACCAGUGGCGAAGGCGGCUUGCUGGACAUUAACUGACGCUGAGGCGCGAAAGCGUGGGGAGCAAACAGGAUUAGAUACCCGGGUAGUC